RNAcentral lists this ribosomal RNA (694 nucleotides) under uncultured bacterium. RNAcentral's name for it is "bacterial SSU rRNA". It matches the Rfam family "Bacterial small subunit ribosomal RNA", at positions 32 to 715 of the family's 1533-position model. The record is from RNAcentral.
AACGCUAGCUACAGGCUUAACACAUGCAAGUCGCGGGGUAACGAGAGGGAAGCUUGCUUUCCUUGUCGACGACCGGCGCACGGGUGAGUAACGCGUAUCCAACCUGCCCAUUACCACGGGAUACCCCGUCGAAAGGCGGCCUAAUACCGUAUGCAGUCGUCAGAUGACAUCAGAGGACGACGAAAGGAUUGGCGGUAAUGGAUGGGGAUGCGUCUGAUUAGGUAGUUGGAGGGGUAACGGCCCACCAAGCCAUCGAUCAGUAGGGGUUCUGAGAGGAAGGUCCCCCACAUUGGAACUGAGACACGGUCCAAACUCCUACGGGAGGCAGCAGUGAGGAAUAUUGGUCAAUGGGCGCGAGCCUGAACCAGCCAAGUAGCGUGAGGGAUGACGGCCCUAUGGGUUGUAAACCUCUUUUAUGCGGGAAUAAAAUGUUUGACGUGUCAUACAUUGUAGGUACCGCAAGAAUAAGGACCGGCUAAUUCCGUGCCAGCAGCCGCGGUAAUACGGAAGGUCCAGGCGUUAUCCGGAUUUAUUGGGUUUAAAGGGAGCGUAGGCCGCAAGUCAAGCGUGUUGUGAAAUGCAGGGGCUCAACCUCUGGAUUGCAGCGCGAACUGGCAUGCUUGAGUACGCACGAGGUAGGCGGAAUUCGUGGUGUAGCGGUGAAAUGCUUAGAUAUCACGAAGAACUCCGAUUG